This 1598-nucleotide long non-coding RNA is filed under the name Sus scrofa (pig). RNAcentral describes it as "lncRNA (ENSSSCG00055023687.1)". The record is from RNAcentral. Lineage: Eukaryota; Metazoa; Chordata; Mammalia; Artiodactyla; Suidae.
AUUUAUAUAAAUGAAAAGAAGUACUAGCUUGAUUUCUUGACAUAAAAUAGAUUUCUUGGUGUGCUUGAUAUUCAAAGCAGAAUCUGAAAUAAUAUUGAUGACUCUAAAAUGAGAAAGCAAUGAAGUCACCUGCUACCAGUAGACUUGAACAGACACCAAAUAACAUUAUAUUUUAAAAUGUAACAAAAAUGAGGAAUUCCCAUCAUGGCUCAGCAGUUAACGUACCCAACUAGCAACGCUUGCCUCGUUCAGUGGGUUAAGGAUCCGACAUUGCCGUGAGCUGUGGUGUAGGUCACAGACGCGGCUUGGAUCCUGCAUUGCUGUGGCUCUGCUGUAUGCUGGUGGCCACAGCUCCAAUUAGACCCCUAGCCUGGGAAACUCCAUAUACCUCGGAUGCAGCCCUAAAAUGACAAAAAAAAAAAAAAAAAGUAACAAAAAUGAAAUGGUAAAAGUUAAAUUUAUUUGUUUCACGUGUCCAACACUGGGCUACGCCCUUGGUAUUCACUAUCUCAUUUAUUCCUGGAAAUAACUCCAAGAGUUAGGUGUUGUUACUCUCAUUUAACAGACAAAGAUAUUGAUCAUCGCAGAGGCCAAAGUACAUAGCUUGCGUAAAGACACACAAAUCAGGAACUGAACGUGGAUUCUGACUACACCAAAAUGCACUAUUCCCCACGAAGAUGACAAGAGCUAUUUACAGCCUUUAUGUCCACUGUGCCAGUAUAUUCUCACAGAGUGAGGCAAGAGGCUUAGUAAUAUCCCUCUUUACAAAUGUGGAAGCUGAGGCACAAAAGAGUCCUGCAAUUUAGGUAACUUCCCAUAUUAAGUGAGGACAGAGCAAAGUCCUACCCAGAGGCAUUUCCUGCUUUAGGCAUGGCGUCACUGUCACCCAGGAAAUCUGUGAACUUAGUGGGCAUUUCAGUUGAACCAAUGCACACUAAACGUGUGUCCCAGCGGCUGCCCCAUUGCCCAAAGUGAGGACAGACCUGUCCUUCAAAGACUAAAAUCCUGUUUAGAACAACAAUUCAUAGACACUUUGAGGACCACUGCUUGGACUUGCUCUGGUCAUCUGUAUACCCUUUCCCUCUUGUUUUCCUCUAUUCAUUUUUCUCCCUUGAACUCCUUAUCUCUCUAAUCCCUCCUCCUGAAUGCUCUUAUUUUAUCUCUCCCUCCACUUUUAUCUUUUCCUCCAGGUCGCCUGAGUCUAUCUUCUCCCCAAGUCAGGCUCCCCAGGCUUUCUUGGCCCCCUGACCCCUCCUUCCUCUCCCAGGACUGUAUUUCCCCUGCCUCUCACUUGCCUCCCAGCAACCUAAGCAGAACAAUACUGGAAGUGGAACUGGCACUCUGACAAAAAGGAGAGCAAUUGGAAAGAAAACUUUACUCAUCAAGAAAGAGGCAAGUAUCUUAAAAAUAUCUGUGGGAAGGUGUUUGCUAAAUCAUCUGCUUCUUCAGAUGUAAACUUUCAACAGUAUGAGUUCCACUGGGAUGGAGAUAGACAAGAAGUGCCUUCUUGGGCUGGAUGACUGAGCAGAUGCGAGGAACUAGAGACCCCGAUAACUUAGCCGUGAAUAAAAUUCAAGAGUUGUUUCCCUCUUUAUUCA